GAAAUGUUUCAUUUGUUGUAGUUUAUAUGUGCUAUGCACAUGUGUUUGCAGCAGCACAUGCAGGUUUAUGAUACACCUGCUUUUGCUUUUUCCUUAGGGAACAAUGUUUUUACCUUCUUUCAAGUAGAACUCUAAAGUGACAGAAGAUACCAUCCUAACCUCCCGGGAAGCAAAUACAAGAGAAUAACAGAAGUCUGCGCACCCUGACUGUGCUCAAUCAAGUUUUCUUUUCUAUGGUUCCUGACUCAAAACUGAUACAGCAAAUCCUGAUCUGCCCCCUGGGAAACACGGAAAAAUUUCACCACCAGCUUCACCCAAGACAAGAAUUCAUCAUAAAGAAAUUUCACAAUCAGAUCUGCAGCUGUUGUGCAUCCCCGUACAGGUAGAUCUCUUCACACUUUGAUCAGUUUAAUAUGGAGAGAGUAUUGUUGGUCUGCAUUUUCUGAACCUUAUUGAUAUUUGUGGUUUUACUCUUUGAGAUAGGAGAAUGUGGAAUCUUUUGACAAAAUGACAAGGAAAGAGAAAAUCAUGCAGCUUGAGUAUGUCUGUGCAUUGCUGCAUUGUUGGACUCGCUUUUUAAAAUUAGUUUUUCAGUUCUUCUCAAAAGUGCUGGAGUAAAAGAUGAAUGUCAGUAUUCAGCAGUCACAGGACAGAAGCGGUCCAGAGCCUGUGCCCGCUCCUUGCUGACAAGGCCUGUAACGGGAGCACCACGAUGGUUUUGUACCAAGAAUUUCACAGAAGGAAAGUAAGCUGUUCUGUGUUCUCAUUUAUUAGACAGAGAGAGAACUGAAGAGUAACCUUUAUGGAACUCACAUGGCACCUGAAUAAUUUGCAUUUAGAAAGGAUGUUCCUUUCAUGUUCAAUUGGUUUAUUGAAUCUGUGUUAGACUUCUGUAAAUGCUGCACAGCUUUUGCAUCUCCAGUACUUUUCCUAAAUGAAAGACUAACCUUUGGAGUCUGGCUUGGUAUAUUACAUUUAUGUUUAGUCUAAAAGAGGUAAUGAAAGUCAUUGAACUGAAUGGCACAAAUUCCCUUGGUCCUUGAGAAGCAGCUUUAACAACAGUCUCACUUGGAUGUUCAGAGUGACAGGAAUUAACAUCAUUCCUAUCCAUCGGAACAUACUUCUGCUUGAAACAACCCUCACAAAUUCAUGUUUCAGUAAUUCUGUAAGGGCAGACUGUAGUGCCAAAGGAGGAAAAACUGAGUACGUUUCUCAUUCCCAAGAGAAAUUAAAAAGGAGGCAAGUGCUUUGAGUGGUUAGCAAGUCUCUUCGUGCUGAUUAUAGUGGCCUGCCAUCAAGAACCUUGAAACAAAACUCAUGUUACUGAACAGAAAUAUUUUGAAAAUGAGUGUGCUAAGGAGCUAUGGGCUUGGUGUGACUGUGAUCUGAGCUUGUUUUUUUUUAACCUCUAGUUGUAUGGGUUACGUUUACAGUAAAUUCUUCUGGCAGAUAGUGGUCAUGAGAAGUUUUACCCUGCAGGUCAGAAAGAAAGCUGUACCAGAAGUAUAGGAGAUACUGAGCUAGGUGGGAGGGACUUCUUUAACACAUCCACCUCAGCCCCUUUCCAUUUCAGUGAUGUUGUGUAGAUCUCUCGGUAUCUUUUUGUACAAAAGCAACAUCUCUUUGAAAUCAGACGUAAAUCUAUCUUGUGAAUUACAUGUAGAAAGUGCUUUGUGGAAAAACACCUGGAAUCACUAAUAGGCAUUCUAGCUUUAAUAUUCUACUUAAUAUUCCCAGCAUUAGACACUCUUAAGUAGCAUUUCUGAGUUUACCCGUAACAACUUGUUUGUGCUAAGGUAGGGUGGCAGUUUAGCUGUGACUCUGCAAAGCGGAAAAAAAGCUGAUGUCUGUGAACUCUGCACCCACACUCUCUUUAUGGGAACUUUGCAAUAGCUGUGCAAUUGCUUUCUUGAGCCAGGGCCUGGAAUCUCCUGAGUUACUCUGAACAUACACUAGCUUUGGUUAUUGGUGUCCCGGUUCACAACUGGGUUGUUUCCUACCCUGCCCUGCAUAUCUCCUUGCCAAGCAAUCUGGACAGUUUGUAAACACUGCAUUGGCAGAAAAGUUAUGGAUUCAAUCCUGUGUUCUGUGCAGCUGGUUAACUGUUUUGUAAGACUGUAAGACUGAGAAAUCGUCCCAUCCCAGUGAAAAAUAAUCUUAUCUCAGUCAUCGUCAGCUCAUGGUUGGGGUGGGGCAAGAGUAAUAUGACAACAUGCGCAGCAGUAACUUUGGCAUUUAAGACUCAUAAGUAACAUGAAACAGUGCUGUGUGCUCUCAGAGACAAAGGGUUCUGCCUCUUUGCCUUCUCUUCCUUGUUGUGCCUUUCCAAAAAAUAACAAAUCAUACUCAGUAUCCUGCUUUAUUUUCUGUAGGCGCUCAAAAAAUGAGACUUGGGGUGUUUAAGGGAUCUCAUAAAGCUCAGAAAUCAAAGAUGGAUCAUCUAGAACAGUGGGUCUUCCCAUUGUUCCCAUUUUUCUUCUGUUUCAAGCUACAUAAAAGGAACAUUCCUGUUGUGUGCUCUACUAUAAGGACCUGUAUUUAUGUCCACGCUUGUGUAAAGCCAAGUAAAAAUUCUGGAAGAAAGCAAGCUGACUUCUUCCUUCCCAGCUCCAUGCAGAGAAAAUCUUAGAAGGGCAAAAAUAGCAAUUGUGGUGCUUUAUGCAUGCCUGGGACAUGGUCAGGAAACAAUAUAGAAACAC
Molecule: long non-coding RNA, 2699 nt
Filed under: Gallus gallus (chicken)
Lineage: Eukaryota; Metazoa; Chordata; Aves; Galliformes; Phasianidae
Description: lncRNA (ENSGALG00010026603.1)
Source: RNAcentral